Lepus europaeus (European hare) is the source of this 133-nucleotide small nucleolar RNA. RefSeq annotates it as small nucleolar RNA SNORA41. The record is from RefSeq and is a predicted model, not a curated record. The transcript has a single exon. Lineage: Eukaryota; Metazoa; Chordata; Mammalia; Lagomorpha; Leporidae.
UUCCACGACUACUGGUCUGCACCUGUUCUCAGGGUAGCAGCUGUGGCACUCCACUGUGGGAGUGAAAUGGUCACACAAUCAAACACUUCUUUCUUAGCAAAACAGAAAGUGGGCAUAUAUGUGACAGACAUGA